This 658-nucleotide long non-coding RNA is filed under the name Elaeis guineensis (African oil palm). Its description in RNAcentral is "long non-coding RNA (EGUI_LNC078482)". The record is from RNAcentral. Lineage: Eukaryota; Viridiplantae; Streptophyta; Magnoliopsida; Arecales; Arecaceae.
UGGGGGCACGUAAGGGUGUUGCAGGGCCUCUCCCCCCAUCCAGUCUAAAAGAACCGGGCCUUUGACUUUGCUCAUGUUAGGGCGAGGUUCUCCUCCUGUCCCUAACAUGGCUCAGGGGGCAUCCAAGGGCCGUUAUAUGGGCCUUUCCCCCGAUCCGAUCUUAAAAUAAUCGGACUUUCAUUUGGCUCAUGUUAGGAUGAGGUUCCCCUCCUGUUCCUAACAUGACCUUAUUUUAAUUGUUUGAAGGGGUCAUCCCCAAUCGUAACAAAUCUAUGCCAAAAGGGAAAGACAUGCAAAGUCGAAAGGAAUUUUGAUUCAAAGCAAAGUCAUGAGCAGCACAUUUACUGGUUUCUCGAGUUCCAUGGUCGUGGAAGGUCUGCUCCUCCUUGAGACCCUCCGGUGAUGCAGUCGAUGGUCCCGAUUGGAGGCCGAUCUCCGGGCUGCUCCUCCCUCCUUGGCGGGUUAGAUUGUGGCAGGACCCUUGGUCGAUCUUCUCUACCCUCAGGCCGACGUCGAAUGAACCUAUCGAGUCGAUCUCGCCGGAUGAGCUCCUCGAUCUCAUCUCGGAGCUGGAUGCAUUCCUCUGUGUCGUGGUCGUGAUCGCGAUGGUAGAGACAGAACUUGUUGGGGUUGCACUUCCCGGGGUGUGCACGCAUCC